UAUUAUUCCAAUCGUCUUCCAACUACUGUCCUGGAAGACCACACGCAGGCACACGAAAGAUGAAGCUAAUGUUUUGUUUCGUUGUGCAUCAUUGCCAGUAAGACUUAAUCUUCUGCCUUCUUAUCUGUUCCUUUUCCUUCUCUGUUCUGACUGUAUCCUAUCUUUCUUUGGUUUGAAAAGUAAAUUAUUUGAGUAUAGCUUUUCUUUUUCCUUUUCAAAUCCUAUCUCCUCUGCUCUGAGAGCAGGUUCAAAUCUGGUUAACAAGAAUCUAGCACUGAUUCAUGAAAACACCCUGAUUUCAUGUUUCAAACCCAUCAUACAACCACACCUUCUUCAGUCGGGCUUUCUAAUUUUUGCAUUUUCUAAAUGAAGCAAUUUUGCAGUCCAUCUUAUCUAGUCAAUCCAGGAAGGGGUCUCAAGAAGGUUCUACUACAAGGUAUAUACAGGAGCCGCCAUGAUUCACAGGAGCCGCCAAAAGCAGGAAGGGAGGCUUGAAUCAAUGAAAUUUGAUCCUCAGAAAACAAAGAGCCAGUAGGCAAUGAGACUGAAUGAGGGCAAGAGAACAAUCAGAACCAAAAGGAACAGAAAACAGUAUUUUCGGCAGCCAGAAGAAUUUGCAAAGUGCAAACCCUCCUGCUUAGAGUCAGACUUCCAUCCCUGGAUUUAACACGUCUCUUUCUCAGUACAGUGCAGUGUUUCCAUAUAAGGUGGGCUGAAGCUGCCACACACGUACAGACAAACUGCUGCCUCAGUCAUUGGUUCUGCAGAACUGGCUGAUGCUGAGCUCCUGUAAACAUCAGUGAGAAGAUCAAGCCAGCGACGGACUGAAAGUAACACCUGAAACACAGUCACUCACAACUUUCAUUUUGGGGAAAAUAAACGCAGGCAGAAGCAGCAGGUGGUAUAGCAGCUGAGUAUAUCUAAUCUUUUAAAAUACUGAUGUUCUUUAUCGCAUGAUACUGGAAAGAAUAGCCAUCUGGCACCUAUUGUUCUUAGGCCUAUAAACACUUCAAAUCAGAU
Molecule: long non-coding RNA, 1020 nt
Organism: Gallus gallus (chicken)
Lineage: Eukaryota; Metazoa; Chordata; Aves; Galliformes; Phasianidae
Source: Ensembl